This 225-nucleotide ribosomal RNA is filed under the name Triticum aestivum (bread wheat). RNAcentral describes it as "partial small subunit ribosomal RNA". Lineage: Eukaryota; Viridiplantae; Streptophyta; Magnoliopsida; Poales; Poaceae. The record is from RNAcentral.
AUGAGUCUCCUAUGCUGGAACUGUCGUGGGAUUGGCAAGCCCGCGACAGUGAAGGAGCUUCGUGAUCUAACGAAGCAGUUUGCCCCCUCUGUACUAUGCAUCCUUGAAACCCAAAUAGAGGAUUCUAGAGUUGAAAAAUUAGUUGGUUCGUUAGGUUUUAAUAAGAGUUUUGUUGUUAGCAGUCUGGGCAGAAGUGGUGGCCUCGGAAUAUUCUGGAAUGAAUAA